This 234-nucleotide long non-coding RNA is filed under the name Physcomitrium patens. RNAcentral's name for it is "long non-coding RNA (PPAT_LNC001552)". Lineage: Eukaryota; Viridiplantae; Streptophyta; Bryopsida; Funariales; Funariaceae. The record is from RNAcentral.
GGUGGACAUUGUACUCUUCCAGGAAAAGACGAUUCUCGAUAAGGCUCCAACAAAGAAACAUGAAAGACAGGAUGUACCUUCAUAGUAGCUGGUAACUCCAGACGAUACGCUACAGGAUUGAUCUGCUUCUGGAUAACAAAUGGUCCCAAUCUCCGAUAGUCCAAUUUGUCACAUGGCCGCUUCGUCUUAAUAUUUCGUCGAAGCAGCCAAACUUUGUCUCCAAUCGUGAAUUUA